Molecule: ribosomal RNA, 315 nt
Filed under: uncultured bacterium
Lineage: Bacteria
Description: bacterial SSU rRNA
Rfam family: Bacterial small subunit ribosomal RNA
Source: RNAcentral
GAUGAACGCUAGCUACAGGCUUAACACAUGCAAGUCGAGCGAAAAUAAUUGAGAGCUUGCUUUUAAUUAUUUUAGCGGCGGACGGGUGAGUAACGUGUGGGCAACCUGCCUUUUACUGGGGAAUAAUCACUGGAAACGGUGACUAAUACCGCAUAAUAUUCUUAGGAGGCAUCUUCUGAGAAGGAAAGGAGAAAUUCGGUAAAAGAUGGGCCCGCAUCUGAUUAGCUAGUUGGUGAGAUAACAGCCCACCAAGGCAACGAUCAGUAGCCGACCUGAGAGGGUGACCGGCCACAUUGGGACUGAGACACGGCCCAA